Molecule: ribosomal RNA, 464 nt
Filed under: uncultured bacterium
Lineage: Bacteria
Description: bacterial SSU rRNA
Rfam family: Bacterial small subunit ribosomal RNA
Source: RNAcentral
CUUAAUACAUGCAAGUCGUGGGGCAGCGCAGUGUAGCAAUACAGUGGGCGGCGACCGGCAAACGGGUGCGGAACACGUACACAACUUCCUACAAGUGGGAAUAGCCAGAGAAUUUGGAUUAAUACCCCGUAACAUAUAAAGAUGGCAUCAUUUUUAUAUUAUAGCUACGGCGCUUGUUGAUGGGUGUGCGGCUGAUUAGGUAGUUGGCGGGGUAAUGGCCCACCAAGCCUGCGAUCAGUAGCUGAUGUGAGAGCAUGAUCAGCCACACGGGCACUGAGACACGGGCCCGACUCCUACGGGAGGCAGCAGUAAGGAAUAUUGGACAAUGGGCGCAAGCCUGAUCCAGCCAUGCCGCGUGAAGGAUUAAGGUCCUCUGGAUUGUAAACUUCUUUUAUAAGGGACGAAAAAAGGGAAUCCUUUCUCACUUGACGGUACCUUAUGAAUAAGCACCGGCUAACUCCGUG